Molecule: ribosomal RNA, 806 nt
Filed under: uncultured bacterium
Lineage: Bacteria
Description: bacterial SSU rRNA
Rfam family: Bacterial small subunit ribosomal RNA
Source: RNAcentral
AGAGUUUGAUCCUGGCUCAGGAUGAACGCUGGCGGCGUGCCUAAUACAUGCAAGUCGAGCGAACAGACGAGGAGCUUGCUCCUCUGACGUUAGCGGCGGACGGGUGAGUAACACGUGGAUAACCUACCUAUAAGACUGGGAUAACUUCGGGAAACCGGAGCUAAUACCGGAUAAUAUAUUGAACCGCAUGGUUCAAUAGUGAAAGACGGUUUUGCCGUCACUUAUAGAUGGAUCCGCGCCGCAUUAGCUAGUUGGUAAGGUAACGGCUUACCAAGGCAACGAUGCGUAGCCGACCUGAGAGGGUGAUCGGCCACACUGGAACUGAGACACGGUCCAGACUCCUACGGGAGGCAGCAGUAGGGAAUCUUCCGCAAUGGGCGAAAGCCUGACGGAGCAACGCCGCGUGAGUGAUGAAGGUCUUCGGAUCGUAAAACUCUGUUAUUAGGGAAGAACAAAUGUGUAAGUAACUAUGCACGUCUUGACGGUACCUAAUCAGAAAGCCACGGCUAACUACGUGCCAGCAGCCGCGGUAAUACGUAGGUGGCAAGCGUUAUCCGGAAUUAUUGGGCGUAAAGCGCGCGUAGGCGGUUUUUUAAGUCUGAUGUGAAAGCCCACGGCUCAACCGUGGAGGGUCAUUGGAAACUGGAAAACUUGAGUGCAGAAGAGGAAAGUGGAAUUCCAUGUGUAGCGGUGAAAUGCGCAGAGAUAUGGAGGAACACCAGUGGCGAAGGCGACUUUCUGGUCUGUAACUGACGCUGAUGUGCGAAAGCGUGGGGAUCAAACAGGAUUAGAUACCCUGGUAGUCC